UGGGGAAUUUUGGACAAUGGGCGCAAGCCUGAUCCAGCCAUGCCGCGUGCGGGAAGAAGGCCUUCGGGUUGUAAACCGCUUUUGUCAGGGAAGAAAUCUUCUGAGUUAAUACCUCGGGAGGAUGACGGUACCUGAAGAAUAAGCACCGGCUAACUACGUGCCAGCAGCCGCGGUAAUACGUAGGGUGCAAGCGUUAAUCGGAAUUACUGGGCGUAAAGCGUGCGCAGGCGGUUUUGUAAGACAGAGGUGAAAUCCCCGGGCUCAACCUGGGAACUGCCUUUGUGACUGCAAGGCUUGAGUGCGGCAGAGGGGGAUGGAAUUCCGCGUGUAGCAGUGAAAUGCGUAGAUAUGCGGAGGAACACCGAUGGCGAAGGCAAUCCCCUGGGCCUGCACUGACGCUCAUGCACGAAAGCGUGGGGAGCAAACAGGAUUAGAUAGCCCUGGUAGUCCACGCCCUAAACGAUGUCAACUGGUUGUUGGGAAGGUUCCUUCUCAGUAACGUAGCUAACGCGUGAAGUUGACCGCCUGGGGAGUACGGCCGCAAGGUUGAAACUUAAAGGAAUUGAC
This 567-nucleotide ribosomal RNA is filed under the name uncultured bacterium. RNAcentral describes it as "partial 16S ribosomal RNA". It matches the Rfam family "Bacterial small subunit ribosomal RNA", at positions 355 to 914 of the family's 1533-position model. The record is from RNAcentral.